AAAGAGAGCUUGCUCUCUGGAAUCAGCGGCGGACGGGUGAGUAACACGUGGGCAACCUGCCUGUAAGACUGGGAUAACUCCGGGAAACCGGGGCUAAUACCGGAUAACUUCUUUUCCCGCAUGGGGAGAGGUUGAAAGACGGUUAUGCUGUCACUUACAGAUGGGCCCGCGGCGCAUUAGCUAGUUGGUGGGGUAACGGCCUACCAAGGCGACGAUGCGUAGCCGACCUGAGAGGGUGAUCGGCCACACUGGGACUGAGACACGGCCCAGACUCCUACGGGAGGCAGCAGUAGGGAAUCUUCCGCAAUGGACGAAAGUCUGACGGAGCAACGCCGCGUGAGUGACGAAGGCCUUCGGGUCGUAAAACUCUGUUAUCAGGGAAGAACAAGCAUCGUUUAACUGACGGUGCCAUGACGGUACCUGACCAGAAAGCCACGGCUAACUACGUGCCAGCAGCCGCGGUAAUACGUAGGUGGCAAGCGUUGUCCGGAAUUAUUGGGCGUAAAGCGCGCGCAGGCGGCUUCUUAAGUCUGAUGUGAAAGCCCACGGCUCAACCGUGGAGGGUCAUUGGAAACUGGGAGGCUUGAGUGCAGAAGAGGAGAGCGGAAUUCCACGUGUAGCGGUGAAAUGCGUAGAGAUGUGGAGGAACACCAGUGGCGAAGGCGGCUCUCUGGUCUGUAACUGACGCUGAGGCGCGAAAGCGUGGGUAGCGAACAGGAUUAGAUACCCUGGUAGUCCACGCCGUAAACGAUGAGUGCUAAGUGUUAGGGGGUUUCCGCCCCUUAGUGCUGCAGCAAACGCAUUAAGCACUCCGCCUGGGGAGUACGGCCGCAAGGCUGAAACUCAAAGGAAUUGACGGGGGCCCGCACAAGCGGUGGAGCAUGUGGUUUAAUUCGAAGCAACGCGAAGAACCUUACCAGGUCUUGACAUCCCGCUGGCCGGUCUGGAGACAGAUCUUUCCCUUCGGGGACAGCGGUGACAGGUGGUGCAUGGUUGUCGUCAGCUCGUGUCGUGAGAUGUUGGGUUAAGUCCCGCAACGAGCGCAACCCUUGAUCUUAGUUGCCAGCAUUCAGUUGGGCA
This 1080-nucleotide ribosomal RNA is filed under the name Siminovitchia fordii. Its description in RNAcentral is "bacterial SSU rRNA". It matches the Rfam family "Bacterial small subunit ribosomal RNA", at positions 71 to 1137 of the family's 1533-position model. The record is from RNAcentral. Lineage: Bacteria; Bacillati; Bacillota; Bacilli; Caryophanales; Bacillaceae.